Molecule: ribosomal RNA, 440 nt
Filed under: uncultured bacterium
Lineage: Bacteria
Description: partial 16S ribosomal RNA
Rfam family: Bacterial small subunit ribosomal RNA
Source: RNAcentral
CCUACGGGCGGCAGCAGUGGGGAAUAUUGCACAAUGGGGGAAACCCUGAUGCAGCGAAGCCGCGUGAGUGAAGAAGUAUUUCGGUAUGUAAAGCUCUAUCAGCAGGGAAGAAAAUGACGGUACCUGACUAAGAAGCCCCGGCUAACUACGUGCCAGCAGCCGCGGUACUACGCAGGGGGCAAGCGUUAUCCGGAUUUACUGGGUGUAAAGGGAGCGUAGACGGAAGCGCAAGUCUGAAGUGAAAUCCCAUGGGUUAACCAUGGAACUGCUUUGGAAACUGUGCAGCUGGAGUGCAGGAGAGGUAAGCGGAAUUCGUAGUGUAGCGGUGAAAUGCGUAGAUAUUAGGAGGAACACCAGUGGCGAAGGCGGCUUACUGGACUGUAACUGACGUUGAGGCUCGAAAGCGUGGGGAGCAAACAGGAUUAGAUACCCGGGUAGUC